GAUGAACGCUGGCGGCGUGCCUAAUACAUGCAAGUCGAGCGAACGGACGAGAAGCUUGCUUCUCUGAUGUUAGCGGCGGACGGGUGAGUAACACGUGGAUAACCUACCUAUAAGACUGGGAUAACUUCGGGAAACCGGCGCUAAUACCGGAUAAUAUUUUGAACCGCAUGGUUCAAAAGUGAAAGACGGUCUUGCUGUCACUUAUAGAUGGAUCCGCGCUGCAUUAGCUAGUUGGUAAGGUAACGGCUUACCAAGGCAACGAUGCAUAGCCGACCUGAGAGGGUGAUCGGCCACACUGGAACUGAGACACGGUCAAGACUCCUACGGGAGGCAGCAGUAGGGAAUCUUCCGCAAUGGGCGAAAGCCUGACGGAGCAACGCCGCGUGAGUGAUGAAGGUCUUCGGAUCGUAAAACUCUGUUAUUAGGGAAGAACAUAUGUGUAAGUAACUGUGCACAUCUUGACGGUACCUAAUCAGAAAGCCACGGCUAACUACGUG
This 497-nucleotide ribosomal RNA is filed under the name uncultured bacterium. RNAcentral describes it as "partial 16S ribosomal RNA". It matches the Rfam family "Bacterial small subunit ribosomal RNA", at positions 28 to 507 of the family's 1533-position model. The record is from RNAcentral.